Molecule: ribosomal RNA, 253 nt
Filed under: uncultured bacterium
Lineage: Bacteria
Description: partial 16S ribosomal RNA
Rfam family: Bacterial small subunit ribosomal RNA
Source: RNAcentral
UACGGGGGGGGCAAGCGUUGUUCGGAAUUACUGGGCGUAAAGGGUCUGUAGGUGGCCAACUAAGUCAGACGUGAAAUCCCUCAGCUUAACUGGGGAACUGCGUCUGAGACUGGAUGGCUUGAGUGCAGGAGAGGAACGCGGAAUUCCAGGUGUAGCGGUGAAAUGCGUAGAUAUCGAGAGGAACACCUGCGGCGAAGGCGGGUUGCUGGGCUGACACUGACGCUGAUGUGCGAAAGCUAGGGGAGCGAACGGG